CCUACGGGUGGCAGCAGUGGGGAAUAUUGCACAAUGGGGGAAACCCUGAUGCAGCAACGCCGCGUGAGCGAAGAAGGCCUUCGGGUCGUAAAGCUCUGUCCUAAGGGAAGAAGCAUGACGGUACCUUAGGAGGAAGCCCCGGCUAACUACGUGCCAGCAGCCGCGGUAAUACGGAGGGGGCGAGCGUUAUCCGGAAUCACUGGGCGUAAAGGGUGCGUAGGCGGCCAAUUAAGCCAGAGGUGAAAGGCUACGGCUCAACCGUAGUAAGCCUUUGGAACUGAAUGGCUUGAGUGCAGGAGAGGAGAGGGGAAGUCCAAGUGUAGCUGUGAAAUGCGGAGAUCUUAGGAGGAACACCAGUGGCGAAGGCGACUCUCUGGACUGUAACUGACGCUGAGGCACGAAAGCGUGGGGAGCAAACAGGAUUAGAUACCCGGGUAGUC
Molecule: ribosomal RNA, 440 nt
Filed under: uncultured bacterium
Lineage: Bacteria
Description: bacterial SSU rRNA
Rfam family: Bacterial small subunit ribosomal RNA
Source: RNAcentral